UAGUAUAUGGGGAUCUUUGUGUGGUGAAUAUUCAUAGUGGGUUGUGAAAAAGAAGGGAUGAUUUUGUGUUACUUUUUACUCUUAUGAGCUCUAGAAAAGUUGUGGAAAUAAAAGAAAAAAAAAUGUUGAGAAAAAAAGAGAAAAAAAAAGAAGAAAAAAAAAGAAAAAGAAAGAGAAAAGAAAAAAAUAUAAAGUCGAGUGUUUAUUGAGAAAUUUGUUUGAAAGUCGACUUUGUGUGUUGGAAAGAAGUUGAGAGCAUAAAAGAGUGUUUAGUUCUGUUUUGUGAUGAUUAAAUCCCUUGAGUUUUGUUGAUUAUGG
This 318-nucleotide long non-coding RNA is filed under the name Salvia miltiorrhiza (redroot sage). RNAcentral describes it as "long non-coding RNA (SMIL_LNC002004)". Lineage: Eukaryota; Viridiplantae; Streptophyta; Magnoliopsida; Lamiales; Lamiaceae. The record is from RNAcentral.